AGGCCAUAUGUGACCAAGGGAGUGAGAUUGUGAUGAAAAAAAAGGAAGCAACACGUGAGAAAAUCAUAACUGACUUCUCCUUCUCUCUCCCCACUCCAUGUUCUCUCUUUUCUCUCUCUCCCUCUCUCUUUCAUAAACAAUUUUCAAGCUUUAUUUUUCUUCUGAAACGGAUCAAAAGCCAAAUACCUAUGAACACAACGAUGAACUCCAUGAAGGUGUUCAUCAGUUUUCCAGAUUUUUCCCAAACCACAUCAAAUGCGAAAACUCAUAACACAAACUCCACUCAAUUUUCCUAUCUGAAACCGAAUCUAGCAUUAGUUUAAUCAGAAUCUCAAUCAAACAAACAAAAUACCCUUUUCCCAAUUUAACCCUAGCCCCCACAUUCUCAUUAAGUCAUCACGAUUACAUAGAGUUAUAACAGUAGAGAGAAAAUUGAUAAUAAAAAUGCAACAAGGAAGGUAAACUGGUAUGAAAAAUGGAAAAAAGAACCUUGUCGAAAACAUGGAGUUUCCGGAGAGAACUCAUGCGACCUUCACUACAUUUAGUGUUGAAGGUGUGCCUAGAUUCGAGCAGAAGUUUGCUAGGGAUUUGGGAGAUAUUUAUGCAGAGAUUUAGUAGAGAAUCUUGUGUGUUUUAGAGAGCGAGCAAUGAGGUUUACUUAUAGAGGAGAAUUGGGACGAUGUGGUGAUCCUCGUGAGAAGAUUUUGAGGGGGAAAAGAGGUGAGUAUUGAGUGAUUUUGGAGGGAAUUUGAAGGGUGAAAAAAUUAUGACUGAGAGCAUGAGUUACGUGAGGUUUAUAUGGCAUGUGAUGGGAUGAUGAAGGAUUGAUGUAUGUUGAUGAUACUUCACGAGUUUCCAUGUGUUUCAUGUCAUUUCCUUUUUUCCAAUUUUCAAUUUAUUUUUAUGUAUGUGUGAAUCAUGUUGGUGUGAUAAUGAUGUUAUGGAUGUCGAUGAAACCAUGUUGCUACAAACGAGGAGCUAGUGUCCUUCAAGAA
Molecule: long non-coding RNA, 995 nt
Organism: Lathyrus oleraceus (garden pea)
Lineage: Eukaryota; Viridiplantae; Streptophyta; Magnoliopsida; Fabales; Fabaceae
Exons: 2
Source: RefSeq, a predicted model, not a curated record